This 294-nucleotide long non-coding RNA is filed under the name Salvia miltiorrhiza (redroot sage). RNAcentral's name for it is "long non-coding RNA (SMIL_LNC003677)". The record is from RNAcentral. Lineage: Eukaryota; Viridiplantae; Streptophyta; Magnoliopsida; Lamiales; Lamiaceae.
AUUUAAUAAAAUUGGUGAUGAUUUUGAUGUAGUGGAGAAAGAGUCCCACCACUUUAUGAGAUGAGUGGUUGAGAUUGAAUUUUGAGUGUUUUUUUUUUUUAAAUAAAGAGUGUUAGUAAGGAUAAAAUAUUAAAGAGGAUGGUGGGACCAUUGCCAUAAAAGGAAAGUGACAUAAUCUUGGCGGACGUUCGAUAUAGUAAUUGUGACAUAAUCUUGGCGGACGGAGGGAGUAGCUUUUAGGAUCAGACUUUAAUAUGAAACAGAGGUGUGUCAGCAAGCAAAUCUCCAUCUAUU